This 207-nucleotide unclassified non-coding RNA is filed under the name plant metagenome. RNAcentral describes it as "partial contains small subunit ribosomal RNA, internal transcribed spacer 1, and 5.8S ribosomal RNA". The record is from RNAcentral.
UUUCCGUAGGUGAACCUGCGGAAGGAUCAUUAAUAAUAAGUGUGUUAUGGCACUUUUUUAAAUCCAUAUCUACCUUGUGUGCAAUGUUAGGGUUUGUGUCUUUUGACCAGCCCCAAACAUAAACGAUUAUCUCAACUCUUUGUCUGAAAAAUAUUAUGAACAAAACAAUUCAAAAUACAACUUUCAACAACGGAUCUCUUGGCUCUC